Molecule: transfer RNA, 92 nt
Filed under: Araneus ventricosus
Lineage: Eukaryota; Metazoa; Arthropoda; Arachnida; Araneae; Araneidae
Rfam family: tRNA
About the family: Transfer RNA (tRNA) molecules are approximately 80 nucleotides in length.
Source: Rfam by way of RNAcentral
UCCCCAGUGGCGCAAUUGGUUAGCGCACGGUACUUAUAGGAAAGUACUUGUGAGAAAUGCCGGGGUUGUGAGUUCGAGCCUCACCUGGGGAA